RNAcentral lists this transfer RNA (74 nucleotides) under Lepisosteus oculatus (spotted gar). It matches the Rfam family "tRNA". From Rfam's summary of the family: Transfer RNA (tRNA) molecules are approximately 80 nucleotides in length. Their secondary structure includes four short double-helical elements and three loops (D, anti-codon, and T loops). Further hydrogen bonds mediate the characteristic L-shaped molecular structure. tRNAs have two regions of fundamental functional importance: the anti-codon, which is responsible for specific mRNA codon recognition, and the 3' end, to which the tRNAs corresponding amino acid is attached (by aminoacyl-tRNA synthetases). tRNAs cope with the degeneracy of the genetic code in two manners: having more than one tRNA (with a specific anti-codon) for a particular amino acid; and 'wobble' base-pairing, i.e. permitting non-standard base-pairing at the 3rd anti-codon position. Lineage: Eukaryota; Metazoa; Chordata; Actinopteri; Semionotiformes; Lepisosteidae. The record is from Rfam by way of RNAcentral.
GUCUCUGUGGCGCAAUUGGCGAGCGCGUUCAGCUGUUAACCUAAAGGUUGGUGGUUCGAGCCCACCCAGGGAUG